RNAcentral lists this ribosomal RNA (421 nucleotides) under uncultured bacterium. RNAcentral describes it as "bacterial SSU rRNA". It matches the Rfam family "Bacterial small subunit ribosomal RNA", at positions 355 to 776 of the family's 1533-position model. The record is from RNAcentral.
UGGGGAAUAUUGCGCAAUGGACGAAAGUCUGACGCAGCGACGCCGCGUGUGGGAUGAAGCCUUUCGGGGCGUAAACCACUGUUGCCCGGGACGAACAUCCCCUUUCGAGGGGACUGACGGUACCGGGUGAGGAAGCACCGGCUAACUCUGUGCCAGCAGCCGCGGUAAUACAGAGGGUGCGAGCGUUGUCCGGAAUCACUGGGCGUAAAGGGCGCGUAGGUGGCUUGGUAAGCGUGUGGUGAAAGUCCGGGGCUCAACCCCGGAUCUGCCGUGCGAACUGCUGAGCUCGAGCAAUGUAGAGGCAGGUGGAAUUUCGGGUGUAGCGGUGGAAUGCGUAGAUAUCCGAAAGAACACCAGUGGCGAAGGCGGCCUGCUGGGCAUUUGCUGACACUGAGGCGCGACAGCGUGGGGAGCAAACAGG